GCUUAUCACCAUUCCAGAUUGAAUAUACCCGAUCUCGUCUGAUCUCGGAAGUUAAGCAAUCUCGGGCUUGGUUAGUACUUGGAUGGGUGACCGCUUGGGAAUACCAAGUGUGAUGAGCA
Ciona savignyi (Pacific transparent sea squirt) is the source of this 119-nucleotide non-coding RNA. The record is from Rfam. Lineage: Eukaryota; Metazoa; Chordata; Ascidiacea; Phlebobranchia; Cionidae.